This 449-nucleotide ribosomal RNA is filed under the name uncultured bacterium. Its description in RNAcentral is "partial 16S ribosomal RNA". It matches the Rfam family "Bacterial small subunit ribosomal RNA", at positions 29 to 523 of the family's 1533-position model. The record is from RNAcentral.
AACGAACGCUGGCGGCAUGCCUAACACAUGCAAGUCGAACGAGAUCUUCGGGUCUAGUGGCGCACGGGUUCGUAACGCGUGGGAAUCUGCCUUUUGGUUCGGAAUAACAGUUGGACACGACUGCUAAUACCGGAUGAUGACGAAAGUCCAAAGAUUUAUCGCCAGGGGAUGGGCCCGCGUAGGAUUAGCUAGUUGGUGUGGUAAAGGCGCACCAAGGCGACGAGCCUUAGCUGGUCUGAGAGGAUGAUCAGCCACACUGGGACUGAGACACGGCCCAGACUCCUACGGGAGGCAGCAGUGGGGAAUAUUGGACAAUGGGCGAAAGCCUGAUCCAGCAAUGCCGCGUGAGUGAUGAAGGCCUUAGGGUUGUAAAGCUCUUUUACCCGGGAUGAUAAUGACAGUACCGGGAGAAUAAGCUCCGGCUAACUCCGUGCCAGCAGCCGCCGUAA